GUCCAGGUUGUUUUGAUACCACUGAAAAAUCGAGAGAUACCAAUAUUAACCAAGAUUCCAAAACCACAAUCAUAAACAAAAAAUAAAGUGCAGGAAAUAAAAAUGAACACAGAGAAUUUUUCGACCGAAGCCCCAAAGGUUUGACGACCACUUCUAACAACUAAUCCCAUGUUGAGCAUCUAUUAAAAUGGAUAAAGCUUGGUUGUACUCUAAAGCCCCAAAAAUCAGGCAGCAGAUUUACAAUAUUGUUCCAAAAUAUUACAACAAAUUAGUCACAAAGACUUAUCUCAUAAAGAACAAUAGAACCGGCCACUAUUCCACAAAGGAUAUCUCUGAAUUACUAAGAUUUCCCCCAUGACCAAAGCUGCCUUCUCAAGAAUCACAGAAAAUUGAGUGCUAUUUCAUAGUGUAUGACUUUCCACCAAGGAACUAUACAAAACCAGCCUCUAUAGUAUACAAGAAUAGGCCCAAAAACACUAAGUUUUCACAUGAAAAACCGGCCAACAAAGAGUCACAUAGAUUCGACUCAACAAAGACCAAAAUAGCAUAACAUCCAUAUAGAUCUUGAGUAUUUCAUGCUAUUUUCUGUGUUUAUUUUCAGAUAAACUCCAGAAAAUUAACACUGAAAUCACUAAGAAGAAAGGGUCAGUUUCGCAUAAGAAGAGAGAGAAAAUGAGAGCCCGUUAUUUACUGAGAGAAUUGAGACGUGAGAGAGAGUGUGUGACUUGAGAGAGAGUGUG
RNAcentral lists this long non-coding RNA (740 nucleotides) under Olea europaea subsp. europaea. Lineage: Eukaryota; Viridiplantae; Streptophyta; Magnoliopsida; Lamiales; Oleaceae. The record is from RNAcentral.